RNAcentral lists this long non-coding RNA (1074 nucleotides) under Oryctolagus cuniculus (rabbit). RNAcentral describes it as "lncRNA (ENSOCUG00000033205.1)". Lineage: Eukaryota; Metazoa; Chordata; Mammalia; Lagomorpha; Leporidae. The record is from RNAcentral.
GUGGGUUUUAACAGAGUUUAAAGGUAUGUAGCUGCCUUGAUGGUGACCUACAUAAACGUCCUGAAAGUUGCUUGCAUCCAAGCAAUGCAAGAGUCUGCAGGCAUUACUCUGCCCUUGGUGUUUGUUGUGGUGGGAAUAAAGGGGUGACUUCUGGCUGGUAUUGUCUGCUUUGUAGUAAAAAGUGGUAAGUAGUCAAAGAGUCCCUAGUGCGAAUGAGAGCAUCAACCAAGGUUGAAGGUGCAAAAAGAGAUCAACACAACAUUACCAUGGUUAACAGUAACAUGGAAGAGUGUCAUGUUUUACAACUGAAGAUGUGGUGAUUUGACAUACAGAAUGGGAACUUAAACAGGAUUGGUUAGGAGUCUGUGUUGCAUCUAGGUAAUGUGGGCCUGCCUAGAACACUGGGUGUGGGAGGUUGCCCCGUUGCUCUCUGGGUCUUUGAAGUGUGUGACACUGGAGAUUUCUGGUCUGAAGCCUUACUGAGAUUCUCACCUGAUGCCUCCCUUCAUGUCCUCUGAUGCAGUCCAGGUACAUAAUUGUAAAAAGUUCAUGGAAAGGUUUUUGACAAAGCCCUUGGACCAAAUGUAACUAACAGGGGUUUCUCCCUUGAGUCUUUGCAUCCAUGGACUUGGGGAAAAUCCUGACACCUGGGGUGAAGAGGAUCUUCACAAACAUGUUGUUUUGUUUCUUGUGUUUUUCACCAGGACAGAAGACCUGAGCUACAGAUCCUCGUUGCAGAAAGGGUUCCAGAUUCCCCCAUGGAUGAGUGGACAGCUGGUGGAAAGACAUCAGAUGGAGCAGUAUUAAACUGUAUCUCUUUGUUUCUUGUUAUGAUGAUUGCAACAACAUUUUUCCAGAUGGAAUGGAGUUUUUACAAGGAUGGAUGUAUUGAGAUUGCUGCUUUUCCCCCUUUGCACAUACUUCUUUCCAAGAACCAUGUAUAAUUUCCAGAAUAUUCUCACACACAGAUUGUAAAUUCUUGCUAAAAUCAUUUUCCAUUAAUUUACAUAACAGCUAAUUUUUUUUGGGUGUGCAAAUGAAUAAAGAAAUGUGUUCUUUGUCUCUUCUUGUCCA